UACGUAGGGGGCAAGCGUUGUCCGGAUUUAUUGGGCGUAAAGAGCGUGUAGGCGGCCAAGCAGGUCCGUUGUGAAAACUGGAGGCUUAACCUCCAGACGUCGACGGAAACCGCGCGGCUAGAGUCCGGAAGAGGAGAGUGGAAUUCCUGAUGUAGCGGUGAAAUGCGCAGAUAUCAGGAAGAACACCAAUGGCGAAGGCAGCUCUCUGGGACGGUACUGACGCUGAGACGCGAAAGCGUGGGGAGCGAACAGG
This 253-nucleotide ribosomal RNA is filed under the name uncultured bacterium. RNAcentral's name for it is "partial 16S ribosomal RNA". It matches the Rfam family "Bacterial small subunit ribosomal RNA", at positions 524 to 776 of the family's 1533-position model. The record is from RNAcentral.